Gopherus flavomarginatus (Mexican gopher tortoise) is the source of this 308-nucleotide long non-coding RNA. RefSeq lists it as uncharacterized. The record is from RefSeq and is a predicted model, not a curated record. The transcript is spliced from 3 exons. NCBI's taxonomy places the organism in Eukaryota, Metazoa, Chordata, Testudines, Testudinidae.
AGCCAUCGCGUGGAGCGGCCCCGGCUGCAGGGCUGUGCCCGGGGAUCUCCCAGCCCCCGCGGCUAGAAGAGAGAGGACACGGAGAUCGUUCUGGGGGGGAACUUCAAAUGGAAGAGCGUCUUAAUGGCAGUGAAAACGCAGAGGGAGGAGGAGAGAAUUCUGUUCAGCAGCAACAGCAGCUGAUGGAGCCUCUUAAUUGUAAUGGACACCUGGACAGAGGAGAUGAAUCAGGUUAUUCAUGUAACUGCAAGUUCAUGAAACGUGCUUUUGUAGCUGGAAUCAUCUUAGUUUUGAUCAUUAUCAUCAUU